GUCUACGGCCAUGCCACUGUGAACAAGCCCAAUCCUGUCUGAUCUAGGACUAAGCAGGGUUGGGCCUGGUUAGUACUUGGAUGGGAGUCCACCUAGGGAGACCAGGUGCUGUAGUCA
Molecule: ribosomal RNA, 117 nt
Filed under: Pteropus alecto (black flying fox)
Lineage: Eukaryota; Metazoa; Chordata; Mammalia; Chiroptera; Pteropodidae
Source: RNAcentral